Anneissia japonica is the source of this 10321-nucleotide RNA transcript. RefSeq lists it as uncharacterized. Lineage: Eukaryota; Metazoa; Echinodermata; Crinoidea; Comatulida; Comatulidae. The record is from RefSeq and is a predicted model, not a curated record. The transcript is spliced from 4 exons.
AGGGCGUCAUCAUUGGCUAUUCCAAAACACAUACUGAAGUGUGUAUUGUAUUGUAAUUUGUUGUUGAGAGGUCGGACUAUUUGUUAUUUUAUACGUCAAUAGAUACCCUUUGAGCUGUGAAAUCGGAUAAUUCAUCGAUCAUGCCAACUAAUGAAGACUCGUGGAUGAAUAACAAAUUUAAUGAACAGAUGGUAAUUACUGGGAAAUGCUGAGUGAACAAUAUUCCGAUUAUAGGUGGCUGUGGUGUAGGUUUUCUGGUGUGAGCUGGUGAAACAUUGGGGUGAUUAUGGCGUUCGAUGAUGACAUUAUCAAGAAGAAGACUCCACUGAAAGUCCUAAACAAAAGUCCAAAUUAUUUCAGACGAAAUACCUCAAGUCAGCCACAGAAACGAAGUGCGUCAGCUGUAGAACAACUAUUCGAAGGUAGGGGAGAGAAUAAACUUGUAACAAGUGGAGAGAAUCAUAUCGGUUCUAAUGUAUUGAGCCAUAGACUUGAAUAUUACAAUAAAAAUAAAAAAGGUCUUCUCGAUGGCAGCAAAGGAGUGCCCAAUGAAGAUGACAGGCAUAAACAAAUUCGGGAUGAUACUUGUAUAUUUGAGGCAACACGAAGGAGCAGGAGAUCUGAAGAGCAACGGGAAAGGAUGAAACGUGCUAGGAGUGUUGAAAGGCCUAAUGUGAAACCAAGAUUUGUUCUGACAUUGUUUCCAUCGGAUGAAUCUUUAGAUGAAAGUACUAAUGAUCCUAGCGAACAAAGUAAAGGAGAUAGUUUUAAUGACAUUCCAACGGGAAGGGUUCUGAACCGGAUAAGUUUCUUCUCGAAAACUGACAGAAAUGUUUCCAAGAAUUCAAGUGCAAUUAAAUAUCAAGACCUUCAAAAGGUACCCUCUCAAACACCUUGCAAAAUUGAGAAUUAUAGCUCCAAGCCUCAUACCCACCCGGAGAAACCACCAAAACCACCGAAACCAACAAGUAUAAAAAUGAGCCAUGGUAAAGAAAACCAAAAAGGGGCUAGCAAUAUCACAUCUAAGGGAAUUCAAAUCCAAGAAGAAUCAAUCAAAUUGGGCUCUCAACAUGUUGGACAGAAAAAUAAUGCUUACAUUAGCUCUCAAGAAAAUAACAAUUCAUUUGAUGCUGUCAAUCAAGAAAAGCAUGUUACUAGAAGAAUCAUAGAGGCAAAACCUCUUUUAUCCCAUGGUAGCACCAACACCAUGCCAUCAAAUAGUGAAGGAUUACAGCAGAAAGCAGACAUCGGAAGACCUGUCAGAGACAAAAGUAAAGUUGUUAUUGGAGUGACUUCCACUGAGCUUUUAAAACCGAAAAAGUUAGACAUCGAAAGUGGUGUUGGCAACAGUUUACUUAGUAGUGCAAUGAACAGGUUGGCAAAUAAUGAGAGCAAUGCAAUCCCUGCAGUAUCCAUUGGCAUUUCCCAUAAUAUGGAUAAGCCCAGUUGUGCUGAAAGACUCGGUGUUGGGGUCCAAACACAUAAGCAAAAGAGUGAUGGUGAACAAAAGAUGGUCAUGAGUCGUAGUUUCCACCAUUUUCCUUCAGGAGGAACCAUCACUGAUAAGAAGAGAGCGGACUCAUCUGAACUGUCCACUAAAGCAGCUUUUGGUUCCAGAAGUUCUGAAGGAUUUGUCAAGAAGCAUGUACGACAAAGAUCAGCACCUGAUGCGAACAUCAGAGCAUGGUUGAAACAGGAAACCUCUCCACAAAUGACUACAGAUAUUUCUAAGGUCUCUAGGAAAGAUGAUAACCGCAUACAAGUUAUAUCACAACACAACUCGAUUCACUACAAACAAAAUUCAAAUCCUGAAGUGUGGGAGAGCAAUUUAGAUGUCAAUUCUAAGCAUGAAGUCAUAUCAUGUGCCAAGAAGCUUGGUGUUCAGACCAGUGAAACACGAUUCUUACGACAUUUGAGGCCUGAGAAACAAGAACCAAAGGCAAUUGUUAAGCCUCAGGAUCCAUCAAUUGUGAUGGCAAAACCAGCAAUUCCAAAAAAGCCCAGUAAAAAGUUAAUCGUUAAGAAGCAGCUUAACGACAGUGUAUUAAGGAAGGUAGAACAUAAAGAUGAUUUAAAAUCUACACAUUUAAUUUUAAAGAAGAAAAGCAAAGCAGGUCAGCCUCUCCAACCUAAGGACUUACAAAAUCAAAGGAAUGACUCUGAAAGGACUGGAAUCAAAUUAGCAGCUGAUACAAAAUCCUACAAUAAAGGAGAAGAAUACACAAACACACAUGGACAGGCUAUGGGCCUGGAUGGAAUGGCAUCCAGUGUAAAAAAUGAAGAUCAAAUCAAAAUAUCUGUUCAUGGUAAUGAAAUAUCUAUAUAUAAGCAUGAUGAAGCGCAUAUUAGCGCAAUUCCAAAGCUUUCAUUUGGACCAAGCGCUCAUCCUUUUACCAAGAAGUAUAAGCCUGUAAUAUUUCACCCCAGGAAAAAGUCUUCCAUUUCAUCAGAUAGUGUUUGCUCAGAAAUAUCCAAAUUGAAUGUUGAAAAUGAUAAACAGAUGGAGAAUUUAAAACAAUUACAAAGGGUAGGACGUGAACAGAAAGAGACAUCAGUAGAUAUGUUGAAUCAUAUGCAAAGCAAGUUUCAUUCCAGCAGGUCAACAACCUCCCCAGUACAGGAGAUUCAGACAGCUGUGAAAUCAAUUGGUGAUAUUGAUGAUGGAUAUGAUAUUGGUAGAAAGAUGUUGAGGUCAAAUCCGGGUAACAUGCUUGGGGCUAAUGAGCUAAAAUCCAAUCAACUUAAUUAUGUUAUGAACCCUGUAAAGAUACCUCAUGAACAAAAUUGUAGUGAAUACCAACAAAAUCAUGGCCAGCCUACUCAAGUUUUUAAUGAAUAUUCAUUAUCCGGGUCUGAGGUAAAUCAGCUAAGCAGUAAAAGUAAGUCAUCCAUGAAACCACUUACUGCUGGUCUCAGACAUAGACCUUAUGAAUAUUCAUUAUCUGUGAGCACUGAUUGGACAGAAAAGGGCUACAAGCAAUUCGGUAGUGUGGCUCCUCCCACAAGAAGUCAAGCAAAUCCUGAAUGUUUAACUGAAAGGACAGAUGAUUGGAGGACUCCAUCUCAUGAAUAUUUAUCAGCAACCAGUAAGCCAUCUGCUAGGAAUUUACUGGUAUUUGAUACUGUUAAUGUUCUUUCAAGUGUGAAUCAGGAAGGAAGGAUAGAGCAAAGCCCAUCCAGAGGCCAGGGCUGUACUUCAACUGCUGAAGUUUCUAGGCCUAUCUAUUCUGCCUACCCAUACCAGCAUAAAAAGUCCUAUAGUUCUAUAAGCCAGACUGAAUACGAACAAGAAAUCAAGAUGGACCGUUUUUUCCGUCCCGUUGUUAAGCGUGUCAACAGUUGGAAUGAUCAUGUUUCUAGGGAGCGAAGAAGGGAAAAGGACUCCAAAGAACUUUAUAAGAAAGCACUUAAAGAAAAUAAACAAAAACUUCUGAAUCAACAAUAUAAAAAAAGUUCAACUUCAGGGAGAGAAAAACAGGACAGUAAGUUUCCCAGUCAAGAUGGUGAGAGCAAUGUGCAAUUUUGUAACACAAGGAAUGUUGAUAAUACACCCACCGCUAAGGAAUUACUAAUCAUUCGGACUGAAGGAAUGAAGACAUACAGAAAACCCAAUGAAGGAAACAAUAAUGGUAAAAUAUCACAUCAAGAAAAAAAUAUUGUAGAAGCGGGGGUAAUUGAGGUUGAAAAUUCUUUCGUUAGUAGAAUUAAACCUCAGCAAAGUAAUGCUAACUACAAUCAGAACCUGCAGUGUAAUGAACAGUCUGGAAAAAUAUCGACUGAAAAUGAACUUCGAACGCGGCAAGCCAGUGUAGGUGAAGUUCAUGAGGCAUUAGCGAAAUUGAAUUCAUCUAAAAACUCACCGCCAAUUAUGUGCAGUUUUUCAAGCCCCAGUGUUACCUCUCGUAGUGUUGCAACUUCAGACAUUAGUCGUGAGGUUUCAACUUGUACACCAACAUUCCACCAGAAAGAUGGUCCUGAUUCUGUUUUUAUAUCGGAUGAUAAGCCUGCUGAAGAAAUGUCCACAGAUACUUUAGUCGAAGCUACAUUAAAAUCUGUUUUACAACGUGAGGAACAAUCUGCAAUGAAAGUUAGAAGAAACUCAAAGGAAUUAUUUGAAAAACGGAAUAUGGUAUUAAAGAUGGAAAAACCACAAUAUUUAGACUCAAAAAUUGAGGAGAAACCUAACACAAAUAUUGAAACAGGUAGUCAUUAUAACUCUUUGAAACGGAAACAGCACCUUAGGAGAAGAAAUUCUUGGGGUUCGUCCUCAGAUGUAAGUGUCCCGCAAACUCCUUCAUCUCGGCGGAACUCACUCUCCGAAUUGGACACGUUUUUUGAGCAGAUGGGACUUGAUGAUAACAUCCUAGUCACCGUGCAAUCUGAACAUGAACUUGAUGACGUAUUCCAUACAAUGUACAUGGAAGCGCUCAACGAUGACAAUCAAGACGCUGACUCGGAUGUUAUGUCGGAAGGCAGUCGCGUCAGUGAGAGUGGAUUGACCAAGAAACUGAAGAAAAUUCCUGACAACACUUCAUCGAUUAUUACACGCAACGCCAAAGUCAUAAAAUGGCUGUGUCAGUGUAAAAAAGCAAAGACUCAACUUUGAAACAGUCACACAUUUUUUUAGUACAGAUCACCAAACAUCUAGAUGUUUACAUUUUUGAUAGGCUUCGAUGGAUAGAUGACGCUUGAUUUCUCUACGAGUAAAUUCAUCAUUUAAAUUUGUGUCAGUUACUGAGUACUGAACUGAUUUUCCAAGGUUCACCAUGCUGUAUGAUCCAAAAAUUAAACUGUCUGUUGUUAGUAAUAAUAACUUGUCUAUGUGAACUUCCUAAGGUUCACAUUUUUUCCAGUACCAUAUGUGAUUUUAACUUGUCUAGUGAACUUGAUGUUGUCUGGAUCGAAGUCAUGAGUUACAGAUUAUUUCUUGUCAUGUUGUGAACCAUGAUCCUAAUUAAAUACACCUACAUUAUUGUGAUUAAUUGAACUCCAGAUGUAGUAAAGGGGAUGUACUUAAUACACCUUUGCCAUAUUUUUCAUUCUGUGUAUUUUUUUUAAAUAUAUUCCUCAACCUGGUGUAAUUAGUUUGAAGAUGAUGUUUGUUAGCAAUUUAUCAUUCAGUGUUUUCAUCAGUACCAAUAUUAAAAUUCUUCUACAAUAGUAAACUGACAAUACUGUAGCUAUUGUAAUCAAAUAUAGAAGAAACAAAUAUAAUAAUGGAAAAAUAAAGUAAGGUACUGAAUUGUUUAUGCAUCUCAAGAUAAGAGAACCAAAAGAUGAAAAAGUGCAUUGCACUACCUUAAUUUUCAGAACAUGUUCAAUGUUAAACAUCAGUAUCCCAAUAACACCAGAAAUAAAAAUCAUUGUAUUAAAAAAUUGGAUGAUCAUAGACAAUAGCGUCACUUUGUGAACUCAAUUGGUCCCAGUGGAUGUCAGAUUAUGAUGUUGGCCGUCGAAUAUUCCAAUUCUAGCGAAUCCAUUAGCUGAUGAACUAAAGACACUAAAUCCAAACUAAGCAUAUUCACAUGGAUUUUCUAAGCGUUCUGAUUUGUUUUUCGUGUAUUUAUUUAAAUUUUUGUUGUACGUGUCAUGGGAAUUCAGAGAAUAGGCCUAUUAUUUAUCAGGCUAGGCCUACAAAAGGAGUUAAUUUUGUGUUGAUCAAGUUGAUCAAUAUACAUUUAACCCCUCUUUUGUCUCUAAAAUCUAGAAUAUUUUAAUUCUUUGGUGAAAAUUAUAAAACCCCAGAUUAGUGAUCUUUUAACAAAUUUGAGGUUUACUAGUUUCGGUUCAGUUCUUUUUAUUUUUACCACUGUUUUUUAAAAUAUGUAAUGGAAGUCUUUGAUAGUAUUGUGUGCUUUAAUUGUUUGAAUAACUCAAGCAGUUUGUGAAUCUGUUUGAUUCCCGGAUCUGAACAAUGGUGCUGUAAGGAAAACCACGAAGCUACAAACCAAAACCUUUUGAAGUGUAACAGAUAUGGAUGCUAUACUUGUGUAAUGACCUUGCGUUGGAUUUGGCCUGACCCUGGUCAUGGCCGCUAGGAGUACAGUACUGUAGCCUGCAGCUAGACAGAAUACUUCUUGGUAGAGUAUGGAAAACAUAGUUAGAUGUCAGUUGCAGCUUCAGACAGUAGCCUAUUACACAGAAGUAAUAUUUACAGUACCUUCCCCCUUCCCGCAAAGCCUGAACACAUGUUUGCCAGGUUUACAGAUUCGGGCACUAAAAGGAAGACAUCAGUAAGAAUUUUGUUUUGAAGACUUAAGGAAGGAAAUAAGUUUCAAUGGAUUUUCAAAUUAUGAGCGCUGAUUCAGAUAUUGGAAAAGACAAACCGAAGUGAUAAAAGAAGAUCCAUCGGAAAUAGACAAUUGACAGCUGGAAACUGUCCGAAUUAAGAAAUUUUAAGCAUGAAGGAAAAAUAGAGUUCAAUGCACUGAGUUACUAUGGCAAUGUUUCAGUACAUGGAGGGAAAUUAAAUGCAUGUUUUAUUACCUGUUUACAAUUUGACUGUUUGAUUUACAGCAGACGCACUGCUAUGUUAUUGUAUACGUCAAUGUUCUCUAUGUUGUUUGAAUAUAACUUAAUAAUUACUUAAAGUAACUCAUGUAACAGCGAAGAGAAGAAGUAUACAAUCUGAAAAUAUUAAAAUGUAAGCAUUUGUGGUAAAAUUAUCUUAAUAGCACCUCGCAUAGGUUGACGUCAGUGCAGUAAGUCGUUUUGAGCCCACGUAAAUCAUUUUUGAUUAGAAACGAAAUAUCCAGAGCUUGAUUGUCUCUAAUUGGUUGCAAUAUGCAUAACGACAUUAAUUUUCAUCUAUGUAAAAUUAACACAACAAAUAUGUUGGCUUUGAAAGAAUCACUUCUACAUUCACCAACAUAUGUUCAAAGAAUGAUAUGAAAAAAAAAAUCUAUUUUUAUUAACUACGGUAUUCGUGUGUCCUGUAAUUCUUGGCAUUAAAAUCACUGACUAAAUAAAACAUAAAACAGGGUAUGCUAAAUUCUUUUGCACUCUACGGCCAGGCACAGGCUGCGUCGACCGUCAGCCAUGCAUGCUUUACAACACGACACUAUCUGCUGAUUGUUGUCUUCUUUUUCACUAACAAUACAUGAACCAUUGAAUAUGUUUUGUAUUUUAUGCUUUUAUGUGAUUGUUGUUGAAUAAAGACAGAAUUGAAUUGGCGGCAGUCAGAGCAGGUCGUCAUGGAAAGUAAUCUGCCUCCCAUGCCUCGUAGCAUUGCGAUCUCUGUGGAAACACAUCGUUGGCUGAAGCAGUGUGUGCCCAGGUCAAGAGUUAUGGCACCAGCUACCCAUUUUUUUAUGAGAGCAAGACUUAAUAAACUUCUGAUUUUACAUUGGUAUCAAUAUUUCGAAAAAAGUACGAUAAUAUUUAAAAAUAUAUAAUAAUAUGUAAGGCUAUUAAAUCAUCAUUUUUUUUUAAUGUGAUUGUAUCCAUCAAGUUUGAAACCAAAGAUCAUCGUUAGUAUAUCUAGCGAUUGAAGGGCUAUGAUGACACUAUUAGGUUGCACAGUGUAUUAUAUUUCUUUAGAUUUUCCAGGAAAAUGUGGUUUCCAUAAAAUCGCUACAAUUCCACUACAGCAGUUUCACUGCAAUCGCUACAUUGUGUAGCUAAAUCUGAAGCAAUUGGUAAGGCUCCCCGAUGUACCCGACCAUUCAGCAUCGCCAAAAUUUAUGAAAAACAUGCUUCAGGUAGCAAUUUUAUCUAUAAUUUUCAUGCUUCCAGAAAGGUUUUACAGGAGAGUUUGGUUUCCAUAAAAUCGCUACAAUUUGGCUACAGCAGUUUCACUGCCAUCGAUACAUUGUGUGGCUGAGUCUGAUGCAAUCGAUAAUGCUCCUUGGUUUAACCGACCAAUCAGUGUCGCCAAAUUCAUGAAAACCAGACUUCGUGUAUCAAUUUUUUCUUUAAAUAUCAUGCUUCCAGAAAAAAAAUAAUAUUAACUCCUGAACAGAAAUGUUUAAUUAAAGAAAAUUAAUUCAACAAAUUUAAAUUGUGUGUACAGUUCUGUACUAAUAUGUACUUUCCUGAAUAUACUUAUUGUUCAAACAAAUGUAGUUGUCUUAACUUAAAUGCAUUCUUCUGGAGAUUUUAAAGCGUUAAAUAACACCAGCAACUGUUACAUCUUCUCAUUAAAGUUACUUAGCAUUCUAAGGUCAAUAUAAUGUCCUCAAACUUAAUAUUUGUAAUUCAUCUCACCAUUAUCUUUACAGAUGAAAUUUCUAAUGGUUAUAUCUUAAGCUUGUUUUCCAUAAAAUCUCUACAUGCUAUCACCGACAGCUGAUGCUGAUUGCUAGGUCGAAUCGGGGAGGCUUCAUAAUUGCAGCGGGGGCUACUACGCUGUACAACGAUUGCAACGAAAACACUGUAGCGUCAGUGUAGCGAUUUUAAGGAAAGCAGACGUUUACUUUUGAAAAUUUCAUUUGACUGUGACAUAAUUGUAUUAAUGUAUAAUAUUCUAAUGUAUGUUUCUACGGAAUAGCGUUCAUGCAAAUGCGUUUAAUAAGUCUACACUAUCCUGUUAAAAAGUUAAAUAAUUCAUUUAAACUGGUUUAUAUAUUUUUUUUAACUGUUCUGAAAAUUUGCAUUUCAAAUUAAUUAUUUGUUUAUUAAAGACAAAAUUUAUACUGUUCAUCUGAUAUCAAUAUUUAAUCAACAACUAAAAUAUUCAUGGUAUAAUUUAUUGUGGUACAGUAUGUUAAUUCCAGUCCAUUUUUUUCUGUUGCUCUGUUGUAUUUCACUUAGGGUUUUUGUGUGUACUUAUUGUCAAAAUGCUUGUUUUUCACAUCUUAAUUUAGAAUUUUAUUUUUAUUUUGAAAGAGAGUAAACAAUGUUGAACACCAUGCUUUAAAAUUUAUUUAUUAUGAUGUGGAAUACUAUUGUUUGUAUAUUGUAAUUAUAAAAGAAUAUAUGAUGUAUUUACUUAAUUAAAUACACUAACUGUAAUUUCCAUCUGAAACAUUCAUUGGAAAUACUAAAUUAAAUUAAGAAUAAAAUAAUUGUAUGAUGAUAUCAGGAUAUUAAUAAUACACUGGUUACAUUCAUAUUUGAAUAUUUUAAUAUAUUUGAUAAAAAAUAAAUAUUGUUUUUCCCUUAAAAUUCAAAUUAUGGUAAACAAUUUAACAGUAUAAGACUAUAUUAGAAAGUUUAUAAUCCAAGUUAGAAAAUAAAAUUAUGUUCAUUCCAAAAAUCUGAGUAUAAAUAAAUAAGUAUUAAGUUGAAGGUUAAGAAAUUAAGAAUUGAAAACCAAGAUUAAGAAUAACUGUCAAUUUCUGUAGCAAAUAACAAAGUUAUAGUAUAAGGCAUGUAGAAAACUUAAUCUGAAAUUGUUUAAGAAUACUUGACUGAAUAUAUUAAUGCCUCUGUACCGUUGAUCUUGCAAUGUCGACUUAUUGUUUUAGAUGAUGCGUAGGGCACAAAUUUCACUCUCCGCACGUAUCCAUUAGCUCUUGUAUAACGACAAGUAGGGCAUUGACGUCUGAGAUUGGAUGAAGCUGUGGAUAAUCUCACUGUAUUUAAAUCUUUUGCACCGCAGCUCAUUAUAUCAUUAUUAUUCGCAACAUUUUCUAUGAUGUAGAAUUGUAGAUAGCUCGGACAGAUUAGUAGAGUGCUGUGCCGUUAAACUGAACAGCGUUCCAGCUUCUUGCGUGGAACACUUUACUUAAUUGGAACCAGGCUGGUUCAUAAACCCUGUAUGUUGCAUAAAUCAGACAUUGUCACCACGCACGAUCGAAAACACAGUAUUAAAGAUAGAAAUACUGUGUCAUAUUAGGAAUUAUCUAAUAACUCGGCGUAUACAAGUAGGAGCAAUUACAGUCAAUGUGCAAGUUUAAUUACCAAUAAUUUAUCAUUGCCAGAAUUUGUGAAUACAGUUUAAAUUCUUUUAUGAACUCAAUCAUCUAGAUUUUUUUUUUAUGAUUAAUAGUGUUUUUGCAUUGAUUACUUAUUAUCAUAAAUGAUGUACUGUAUUAUAGUCACUUUUUUGUGCUUUUAUAAUUUUGGUUUGGAAAGACAUCAACGUUUUGUAAUGUUCCUGCAUUUUUAUUACAUUUCUAUGCUGCUUAGAUACAUAUCAGUUGUGUUGGCUAUAAAGAAUUCUUUUUUAUUUAAUUGAAUAAUUUAAGAUUUUGUAUGCCAUAAUUAUGAAUUAUUAAUUUGUCAAUGUUUGUAUAGCCAUGUUGCACCUUUCAAUUUUUAGGUGUAACUCAGAUUUUUGCAAUCAACUUUAUCAAUCAAUCAGUCUCUCAUAUAAGAAUCAAAGAUAUAUAAUUCUGAUGAAAUUAAUGUUAAUAAAAGAUCAGUCAAGAUGAAUUCA